UCCCGUAUAGUCUAAAGAGUCUACCGUCUCUCACCUAACCCUUUUAAAGUAUGAGUGAAGAAUCCGGUGAUUAAGGUUGGACCUGAGGAGUAGGUAAAGUCCGUAGAAGCUCCGGCGAUGAUUCCGGUGAACGGGCAGGGGAAGAUUCCGGUUAAUGGGUAAGUUCACAACACUCACAUUUUUUUUGUAAACAAUGAUCACACAGUUAACUUUGUUUGUCACAAAGAUUAUAUGUCAAGUAGCUAAAGCUUUUACAAAGAUUAUAUGUUGAUUCUACUUCAUACAAUUAAAAUUUUAUUGAUAUGGUAAAAGGCAUUGGCACAACUCUAAUACCGGCAAGGUUUGUGUGUGCUUAAGUGACUCGUUUACAUGGUAAGAUUUGAAUGCUUGUGUUUGUUUUUAAGGUCGCACGCCAAGUGUUUGUGACAUUGCCUAAAUGACUAGAUCCAAAUGUUGGUUAAUUGGUAGUAUGUGUAUUUUGUACAGAUGGUCAAGCAUUGGCCUAUGACCCUAUUUGAGGAAUUCCCAAUGUGUUUCUGAAUAUUUGAUGCAGUGGCUAUGAUUUUGAAUGUGAAUAACUGAAUAAAGCAUGCUUCUUAGAUUAGCUAACAUCAGAUUUAUAAUCAUAGUUUUUAAUCUUCAGGUGCUAAUCUCAUAUAGUAAUUGAAAAAAGAAAUUCAAUAUGUGGGUUUGCUUAGUUUAAAUAUUUGACACAAGCUUCUUUUUUCUAUGUAUUUUGGGUUAGAAUUAUACAUCGAAACCAGAUCAUGAAGAUUGUGAGUUUGAACUUAAUGUUCAAAGCCUUUUUUCCUCGGCUCGAUAGCCUUGGCUUAAAGUUUUUGUUAUGCUUUAUUCUUUCCUAUCAAAUAUAGCAGAAGACGUAUUUCUCUUUUGCUUCACAGUCACACAUAUGCAUCAAGUAUUUUUAUUAUUGAAUAAUGCUUUUUUUUUUUCUUUUUAAGUUUAUAGCUAGAAAGUGACUAAGUGGACAUGUUCAAAUUGUAAACUGUUUGCAAGAUGGGUAACUUAAAGAAUCUUAUUAAUUCAAAGUAAUCACACUUGCAUAUACUUCAAUUCUUUUUUAUUAGAAUUUGGUUUUAGACAUGGUCUGCAGGCCACUUUGUUCUUGAUAUUGCAUUAUAUAUAUUUGGCAUUCUAACUAACCAUUCUAUUUUGGAUGCAUAAACAUGAGCUAUGAUGUAUAUGGCUAAAAAGAGAAGAGACGGUCCACAAGGUUACAAUGGUGUAAGGACCAAAAACAAUGGAGCCCGUGAUCGUUCGGUGUAACGACCAUAGGUGGUUCACUGGAGGCAUGGGGUAGGGGUGUUCAAAAAACUCACGGCUCGCAGCUCGCUCGAAACUCAUUCGAAAAAAGUUCAAAAAAAGCUCGGCUCAAAAUUGGCUUGGUUGUAAACGAGCCAGCUCGGCUCGGCUCGAUUUGUAAACGAGCCAAGCUCGAGCUUGGCCCGGCUCGGCUCGUGAGCCAGCUCUAUAAGGUUUACAUCCUUUUUUUUUGUCUCACAUCGUUCAGAAGACAAAAACUAAGGGAAUAUCUCC
RNAcentral lists this long non-coding RNA (1557 nucleotides) under Helianthus annuus (common sunflower). RNAcentral describes it as "hypothetical non coding rna". Lineage: Eukaryota; Viridiplantae; Streptophyta; Magnoliopsida; Asterales; Asteraceae. The record is from RNAcentral.